UUUAACAUAGAGUUGCACAGAGGGAGGCACAGAGAUCUAACUAGGAGUUACUACUACUAAAUAGCAGAAAUGUCAGAUGAAAUGUCAGUGGAGAUCUUGAAGUAAUUAUACCCACUAAAAACCUCCAAUUAAGAUGUUACUUUCCACCAGAGACAAUGGGCCAGAUUCUGUAUCCAAGGUAACUCCACAAAGCACUUUAGAGACGGCCUGAAUGUACACCCCACUCAAAGGUACUGCAAUUGAUAUUAUUGUUUUUAAUUUCAUUUUACGGUAGUAGCCCACCAGGAACCUGGAAAGGACUUGUCAAAGUUAUUUAUCUGUUAACUGAGAUGACACAAAGGCAGAUUUUACGGGCCAAAAACUACUGAGGAGCAUCCACCAACAAUUUAGAUUUCUUAUACUGAACAGCAGCAUCACUUCUGCAGCGGGUUUGUUGUGUUCUGUGUAUUAUACUUCUAGCUGAAACUCAAAUCACUGCAGUUAAGCAUUUAAAAAAUCUUCACCAUGAACUUAUUUAACUUUCUGUCACAAGGAAGAUGAGAAAGCUUAACAGAUUCAGCUUUCACAUUAAGAACAUGUUCAGGGUGGCAGCAAAACACACAGAUCCACUGCAGUUCAUUUCUGCGCAGCAUAAAUCCUUCAAUUCCUCAAUUGUCAUUAUAGCACACCAGGAUUCAUGGACCAUAAUUAGAGGCAGCGAAGCCCAGACAUGACAAGAGGACGAAGAUGGUUUACCUUUUGUCAGCAUGAAAGCACCUGGCAGAACUGGCACAAUCAUCCAUGCCAACACCACCCAGCUACCGAAGUGGCCCACAAGUGAAGCACCCUGAAAGGCCUGGUAUAGGGAUUUAACUUAGUGUGUUGACUAUAUC
RNAcentral lists this long non-coding RNA (872 nucleotides) under Anas platyrhynchos platyrhynchos (common mallard). RNAcentral describes it as "lncRNA (ENSAPLG00000026889.1)". Lineage: Eukaryota; Metazoa; Chordata; Aves; Anseriformes; Anatidae. The record is from RNAcentral.